CACGCGAUGCCGCCGCCGGCCGCUCGCCCCACCCUACCCGCCCGCUGCCGCCACCAGCCGGCCGCCCCUCCCUACCAGCGAGCUGCCGCCGCCGGCCGGCUGCCCCUUCCUCCCCGCGCGCUGCCGCCACCGGCCGCCCGCCCCUCCCUACCCGCGCACCACCGCCACCAUGUCUGUUGUCGUCCUGCGCCGCCCAGCCAGCCUCCUCCUUCCGCAUCGCCGGUGACCUCCUUCCUCCAGCUUGCCGCCACCCACCCUCGGGUCCGCGCGCCGCCGCCCACCCCCAGGUCCGCGCGCCGCCGGCCAUCCCCGAAUGCGCGCGUCGCUGGCCAUCCCCAGAUCCCGCGCCACCAGCCGUCGCCUCCCACCCACGCGCCACCGGCGGCUGCUGGGGGGAGCCGCGGGGUCGAGAUUGUUCCUCUCGGCAGUACACCUGCACGCUCCGUCGUCGGUCACGAGAAGAGCUGCGUGCAGGGCACCCUCGAUCCGUUCAACGAUCCGGUAGCCGGCGUCCUGGUUCCUUCCCGGCAUCCGUCGUACUGGUUCACGCACCAUCGCCGUCGGUCCUUUUCCGGUUUGAGAUAGUGAGCGCCACCUGGGAGGACUCUCCGUGGACAACGCUGCACCAUCGACGGCCUCCUCCACCAGUUGUGUUUGGAGCUGGAUGUGUUUGGAGCUGCUCCGCUAUAUUUCUUUAUUGGUUCAACAAGAUAAUUGCUCUAGAUUUCAUUUUCUAAUAUAAUGUUAAAAAGUCCACUAGAUGGAAAAUUCUGUGUUAGCUACAUCAGUACUGCUCAGCAGUACGACAAGUAGCAGUACUAAUCAGUACAACUUACACAAUAUUAGUACCGAUCAGUACUAUUCUUAAUUUUAAAAGUAACAUCCAUAUAGUACUGAUGAGUUGUACUGACAAGGAUGCCGUCUACAAUUCUGAACUUAUUGUUGAGUCGUACUAGUACUGAUGAAAUGGGAAGCAAGUGUCACAUGAAUCCUUAAUUGAAUUGGAAGCAAGGUUGUAAUGAGACCCUGGAAAAUCACUAUUUAUUUUAUCCUCGGUUCUUAGAAAAGCAUGGAAACAAUUCUCUGUGUGUUAGAGUAUCAGUUCAUGUGGAGAAGAACAUGUUUCCUAUAUGAAUUUUUUUUUAUUAUCAGUUCAAUGUGUAUUUUGUCAUUAGUUCAUACAGAACAGCCGUAAAAAUUAUUUUGAUGUGUGUUAGAGAGAGCUCGACUUUAUAUUAUAUGGUAGCUCACUCAUUGCACGAUUGCACAGCAGUUUGGCAAGAAAAUUCACAUCAGUUCAGGGGCGCCCGCAUCACGACCUCACCGUGCCACCACAAUCUCUCCUUGAUUCACCACCGGACGAGCCCCUCCUCACACUUUGGCAAGCUGAUGCAGCAAAAAGCAAGAUUCACAAGUUCAUCUUCUGGAUGCUUUUCAGUACAUCUACUUCCCGUUGUGCAAGUGUGGAGGGCCGGUAAGUUCUACUACCAGUCUACGCCAAGUUCAGGGGCAUUGCCACUGAUGGAAAGGACAAUGAACCAACGACGUCGGAUCAUAGGUCGAAGGAGGCCGGGUCAAGGCACCAUGACAGGAGCGCCCUGGCCGAUCACAGCCACCACCGCAGGCCGUUCAACGCCACCUCCGCAGGUCGUCUCCAGCCAGUCGUCGCUGCCCCCGGCGCCUCCACGCCCAGACCCCCUUCCUCUGUUCCUCAAAAAUCUGUCAAUUCGAAAGCCUCAAAAACCCGUCAGUUGGAAAUCCGUUCAACAUCCGUGGCUGAGAACGUCCACGAGCUCCUCUGUGAUCAGUUCCUUCGGUCGACAGUGGGUUGUGGCUCCUUGGUGAGCAAACCUUUUGUCCCUGUUGUCCAGUCAUUGCCUGGAGUAAGGAUGUUGUGCAUACACGUGCGUCAGUGCACUAUCGGCUAUAACAAAAGUUGAUGUUCGUGCAAAUGCCAAACUUGUCGCAGCUGGGUGCAACCCGCGAAGGGGCUAUGCAGCAGGUGCACGCAGCAAUAAGGGAGAAGCGCACAUGAAGCAGGUGAGGAGGUGUGUGUGCGAGAGAUGAUACUGAACUUGUAAUGCUGCUGUACUCGCGUGUGAAUGAUUAUUUUUUUCCUGCUCAUUCUUGUACUCUCUGGCAUGAAAAAACCUGACGACAGAGUACUGAAUAUUUGUGUAUUCUAUCAUCAGUUCAUAGAGAAGAAAUUCUUUUU
Molecule: ribosomal RNA, 2215 nt
Filed under: Triticum aestivum (bread wheat)
Lineage: Eukaryota; Viridiplantae; Streptophyta; Magnoliopsida; Poales; Poaceae
Description: partial small subunit ribosomal RNA
Source: RNAcentral